Molecule: ribosomal RNA, 533 nt
Filed under: uncultured bacterium
Lineage: Bacteria
Description: bacterial SSU rRNA
Rfam family: Bacterial small subunit ribosomal RNA
Source: RNAcentral
AAUAGAUACCCUGGUAGUCCACGCCCUAAACGAUGUCUACUAGUUGUUGGGUCUUAAUUGACUUAGUAACGCAGCUAACGCGUGAAGUAGACCGCCUGGGGAGUACGGUCGCAAGAUUAAAACUCAAAGGAAUUGACGGGGACCCGCACAAGCGGUGGAUGAUGUGGAUUAAUUCGAUGCAACGCGAAAAACCUUACCUACCCUUGACAUGUCAGGAAUCCUUGAGAGAUCGAGGAGUGCCCGAAAGGGAACCUGAACACAGGUGCUGCAUGGCUGUCGUCAGCUCGUGUCGUGAGAUGUUGGGUUAAGUCCCGCAACGAGCGCAACCCUUGUCAUUAGUUGCUACGCAAGAGCACUCUAAUGAGACUGCCGGUGACAAACCGGAGGAAGGUGGGGAUGACGUCAAGUCCUCAUGGCCCUUAUGGGUAGGGCUUCACACGUCAUACAAUGGUACAUACAGAGGGCCGCCAACCCGCGAGGGGGAGCUAAUCCCAGAAAGUGUAUCGUAGUCCGGAUUGUAGUCUGCAACUCGA